RNAcentral lists this ribosomal RNA (706 nucleotides) under uncultured Limnohabitans sp. Its description in RNAcentral is "bacterial SSU rRNA". It matches the Rfam family "Bacterial small subunit ribosomal RNA", at positions 8 to 713 of the family's 1533-position model. The record is from RNAcentral. Lineage: Bacteria; Pseudomonadati; Pseudomonadota; Betaproteobacteria; Burkholderiales; Comamonadaceae.
AGAGUUUGAUCCUGGCUCAGAUUGAACGCUGGCGGAAUGCUUUACACAUGCAAGUCGAACGGUAGAGGGGGCAACCCCUUGAGAGUGGCGAACGGGUGAGUAAUAUAUCGGAACGUGCCCAGUCGUGGGGGAUAACGUAGCGAAAGUUACGCUAAUACCGCAUACGAUCUAAGGAUGAAAGCGGGGGAUCGCAAGACCUCGCGCGAUUGGAGCGGCCGAUAUCAGAUUAGGUAGUUGGUGGGGUAAAGGCUCACCGAGCCAACGAUCUGUAGCUGGUCUGAGAGGACGACCAGCCACACUGGAACUGAGACACGGUCCAGACUCCUACGGGAGGCAGCAGUGGGGAAUUUUGGACAAUGGACGCAAGUCUGAUCCAGCCAUUCCGCGUGCAGGAUGAAGGCCCUCGGGUUGUAAACUGCUUUUGUACGGAACGAAAAGGUUUCCAUUAAUACUGGGGGCUCAUGACGGUACCGUAAGAAUAAGCACCGGCUAACUACGUGCCAGCAGCCGCGGUAAUACGUAGGGUGCAAGCGUUAAUCGGAAUUACUGGGCGUAGAGCGUGCGCAGGCGGUUAUGUAAGACAGAGGUGAAAUCCCCGGGCUCAACCUGGGAACUGCCUUUGUGACUGCAUAGCUAGAGUACGGUAGAGGGGGAUGGAAUUCCGCGUGUAGCAGUGAAAUGCGUAGAUAUGCGGAGGAACACCGAU